AGCGAUCUGCGCUUCCCGACAGGAAAACUUAUCCCCGGGGCCUUAUUGAUCCUUAAGGGAGCUGUUCCUGACCCGGCCCGUGGGCUUGGUCACACGGCGCCCACCUACAUUGUAGGUUCCCGGGAUCAACAUUCCAUCGGUCGCCGUGGAUCGCGA
This 156-nucleotide non-coding RNA is filed under the name Nitratireductor indicus. RNAcentral describes it as "6S RNA". It matches the Rfam family "6S / SsrS RNA". Rfam says of the family: E. coli 6S RNA was the first non coding RNA to be sequenced, but its function was unknown until recently. It consists of 184 nucleotides that fold into an extended hairpin structure with a large single-stranded internal bulge. The 6S RNA specifically associates with RNA polymerase holoenzyme containing the sigma70 specificity factor. RNAcentral also lists the same sequence under 1 other name. Lineage: Bacteria; Pseudomonadati; Pseudomonadota; Alphaproteobacteria; Hyphomicrobiales; Phyllobacteriaceae. The record is from RNAcentral.